UUUAGAGGAAGUAAAAGUCGUAACAAGGUUUCCGUAGGUGAACCUGCGGAAGGAUCAUUAGUGAUUGCCAUCUUGGCUUAAACUAUAUCCAUCUACACCUGUGAACCGUUUGAUUGAAUCUUCUGAUUCAAUUUUACAAACAUUGUGUAAUGAACGUCAUUAGAUCAUAACAAAAAAAAACUUUUAACAACGGAUCUCUUGGCUCUCGCAUCGAUGAAGAACGCAGCGAAAUGCGAUAAGUAAUGUGAAUUGCAGAAUUCAGUGAAUCAUCGAAUCUUUGAACGCAACUUGCGCUCUCUGGUAUUCCGGAGAGCAUGCCUGUUUGAGUGUCAUGAAAUCUCAACCAUUAGGGUUUCUUAAUGGCUUGGAUUUGGAGGUUGCCAUUCUAAAUGGCUCCUCUUAAAGGAGUUAGCAAGUUUUACUAUUGCUAUCUGGCGUAAUAAGUUUCGCUGGAAUGGUAUUGUGAAGCGUGCUUCUAAUCGUCUUCGGACAAUUACUUUGACUCUGGCCUCAAAUCAGGUAGGACUACCCGCUGAACUUAAGCAUAUCAAUAG
RNAcentral lists this ribosomal RNA (554 nucleotides) under Trichosporon sp. 01NH03. Its description in RNAcentral is "eukaryotic LSU rRNA". The stretch from base 179 to 332 matches the Rfam family "5.8S ribosomal RNA". Lineage: Eukaryota; Fungi; Basidiomycota; Tremellomycetes; Trichosporonales; Trichosporonaceae. The record is from RNAcentral.